UCACUCGCCGACUCCAGGUCCCGGGGCUUCCCGGCCUCCCUGAUGGUGUGAGCCAGUUCCUGUCAUCAGAACCCUGCUUCCUACGCUGUGUCUUUGGGGCUGCUACAGGAGUCUGACGUCAGCCAUCCCUGGAGGCAGGACAGCCCUCCAUACGGUCACCACUCCCAGCAGAGUGAGCAAAGAUGAUAAGAGAAUGGAAGCUGGGUCUAGCCUCAGAAGACAUCUCAUCACUGUUCCCUCAUUCAGUUGUUGGAGGUCUGCCCUAAGAUGCAGAAAGCCAGAGGCUGGACACCUGUGCCUCCACCUGCAGGGACAGCAGUGUGCCCCGCGUCAGGACCACUCAGACACUGGUUUCCGUCGGCUCGGUCCACAGGCCACUGACCGUGAGUUCACCCCUGGCCCCCAGACCCCUGCCAAUAGACCUGGAGGAGGCAUGGUAGGCUGUUUGGGUGAAAACCGCAUGGCAGAGCGCGAGUAAACCCUGUGAAAACAGGUCCUCACUGGGUCCAGGGGACAGAGUCUGUGCCCCUGUGCCUUGGUCCCCUGUGCACAGGAGGCGGAGGCCUUGUUUGGGCGCCUGCUUUGCUUUCACCUGCAUCCAGGCGGCAAGUCGGGGUGCUGACUAUGAGUGGUGUGCAGAGUUGGUGGAGGUGCCCCUGGGGUCACAGGACUUGGUCCUUGGGACCCAGGGACCCCAGGGCCCCAGCGGCUGCUGGGGAAGCUGAGAUGCAGAAGGUCAGUGCCAGUCCUGUGCAGGCACACAGCCGUGCCCUUGGCCAGGACCUCACCUCCCUGUGGGACUCCUCGUUCGGCUCCCCUCUGGGCCGGGGAAGAGGUGGACCGCUGCACAUGGGGUGGCAGGGUGACCCGAGCUGCCUGUCUUGAAGGGGGUGUCAUUCGUGCACCGGCUCAUGUAGUUGGGCUGGCCAGCAGCUCCCCACUGCCCAGUGAGGUUGGGGGUCUGGACUCUUGUAAGGUCCCUGGAGCCCGUGGCAGGCAGGCAGUGUCUCCUUCCGCAUCCUGCCCGUGCUGCCACAGGGAGAGGAGCCGCCCGCGGGCCCAGCAGGACACCCCUACAGCCAGAUGCCCAGCUUGUCGCAGUGGCGCGUCCAGUUCUGCACCACAAUGCCAGGCCUCCGGGAGCCCCGCCUGCCCCCUGGUAGCAGGUUCACUGACGUGAGACCCCUUGUGGGCCAGGAAUCUCCAGAGAAACCGCACCAGUGGGAUGCGUGUGCGCUCACUCACUCAGUCGUGUCCGACUCUUUGUGACCCCCUGGACUGUAGCCCACCAGGCUCCUCUGUCGAUGGGAUUCUCCAGGCAAGAAUGCUGGAGUGGGCCGCCUUGUCCUCCUCCAGGGGAUCUUCCCACCCAGGGGUGGAACUCCCAUCUCUCGAGUCUCGUGCCUUGGCGGGCGGGUGUUUCUUUUUUUUUUUACCACGGGGCCCAUCGGGAAGCCCACCAGUGGGGUAUCUGUCUCUAUACCCGUCCAUCCAUCCCUCAUUCAUCCACCCUUCCAUCUCUCCAUCCAUACACCCGUCCACCUAUCAUCCAGCUAUUUACCUACCUACCUCUCUAUAAAAUAUGUACUACCAGGAAAUAGCUCGCGUGGUUACGGGGCUGGGAAUGACCUGCCGUGGGCACACGGGCGGCCCAGGAAGGCCAGCUUGGGGACGUCAUCCAGCCUGAGUCUGGAGGCCUGAGCCCCAGCUGACGUUGUGACCACAGUCUCAGGGCAGGAGGAGGUGCCUGGAGCCGCCCCAGCUCAGGGGGUGGGGCCGGAGGAGGGGCGUUCUCCUUUCCCCCGUGUGUUCCGUUCAGGCGUCGGGGGACGGCUGGUGCCCCUCAACAUGGGGGAGGCUGCCUACUUUCCUGCGUCCACAGUUCAGUGCCAACCUCCCCAGGAAACACUACCCCCGCAGCCGCCCCAGAAGUCACGUCCCCUCUGGCGGGUCAUGCCGACACACUGCUGAACACGGCCCUCCCGUCACAGGAAGGGCAGCAGCGGUUCCCACCGGCCGGCCCGCGCCCUGCGUUUGGAUUGCCCGUGCCUGCGCCCGUCCUUCCCUUACUCACCAACUUAACACCGUGCUGCUGGGCUAGCUCUUCCCGGAUCCCUGUUUCUGGGCAAGGACCUGACCUUACAUAAAGAGGAGCAAGGCAAGCGGAGGUGCCCUGGGCUCCCCGAGAGCCACCCGGUACCCGGCUCCUCAAGGAGAAGACCCCAUGGGAUGGCAGCCUAGCCUUGGCAUCGUUUAGGACCACGGCUGGGGCAGCGGGGUGACAGUUGCCCUGUGUCCUCUGGACAUGCUAGUCAAUGCCGCCAUCUCCCCCAAAUCAGGAUGCACGGCCGUGGAGGCCGCGGGCUGGGAGGGCCGCUUCCUGUGAUUAGAAUGAAUGGGCUGCUCACAUUCUGCCUCCCGCCCGUGUUGGUCCCUGCUCACCUGGUUUUCAGUCCCAGCAAAGGGAUGCUUUGAACAAAACAAUGGUGACGUUGAGUUGGAAGGGGGAGAGUCUCCACCUGGCCCACCAGGGGCUCCUCUGCCAGUGGACUAAGGGGCCCCGAAGGGGGCCACGGUGAUGGGAUCAAGGGGAAAUGGGGUCCUGCUCCUGAGUGAGGGCGGGAUGACGGGGUGAUGAGGGUCCAUGGCGGAGGUCACCACCGGGAGGAGGCCUUCGUUCCCAGCACCCUCCCCACGAAGAGUGGGCUGGGCAGCAGGAGAAGCCGGUGAGAGGGCCCAGACGGGGGUGGGC
Long non-coding RNA from Capra hircus (goat), 2752 nucleotides. RefSeq lists it as uncharacterized. NCBI's taxonomy places the organism in Eukaryota, Metazoa, Chordata, Mammalia, Artiodactyla, Bovidae. The transcript has 3 exons. The record is from RefSeq and is a predicted model, not a curated record.